Long non-coding RNA from Rhinichthys klamathensis goyatoka, 298 nucleotides. RefSeq lists it as uncharacterized. NCBI's taxonomy places the organism in Eukaryota, Metazoa, Chordata, Actinopteri, Cypriniformes, Leuciscidae. The record is from RefSeq and is a predicted model, not a curated record. The transcript is spliced from 3 exons.
UGAGGCUGAGGAAGAAGUUUUCAUAGUUUCAUCCCAGUAAGGCCCAGCUGAAACAGUCAAAAAAGGCAGAAGAGAGACAACAUUGCAGGAGACGAGGUCAACCGAGACAAACACAGAAAGAGCAUUGUGAAGGACAGAAAUGGGGGAGCUCAAUAUAGGAUGAGGAAGAUGUUGUUAAUGGAUGCAUGCAGGAGCUACAUGCCUGUGCGGAGCCACGGACGUCUCACUGGCCUUUUGUAUCAGUCAAAAACAAAAGCCCACUGAAGAUUGCCCAAACAAUUGAGGGGGAUUGUGUUUG